Molecule: long non-coding RNA, 400 nt
Filed under: Callithrix jacchus (white-tufted-ear marmoset)
Lineage: Eukaryota; Metazoa; Chordata; Mammalia; Primates; Cebidae
Description: lncRNA (ENSCJAG00000086610.1)
Source: RNAcentral
CUCAGAAUUCUUUUAAAAGUUAGAGGGGCAAAGUUGCAUCUCCAAAGCUUCCUCUGUUUACAGUUGUCUUCUCAUAAAUUUCAUGGUGAACAACCUACUCUCUAUAAGGAAGGCAAAACCAAACAAGCAAAUAGACAAAAAACUAGCAAAGAAAACUCACUAUUUCUAGCAAAGAAGUACAUUUUGAUGGUAAUUAAGGAUUGUAGAUGAUACUUUCUGUUAUCUAAACAGAGUAAGCCUGUCUUGGGUUACAUUUAAUCCCCUAAUAUUUGAUAUUAAAAACUGAUCCUAAAAAUAUUUGAAUAGCAUUAAUUAAUAUAUUUGUGUGAUAUAUUAUAAACCCAAGAACAAUAUUUAAAUGGUAUACAAUAGACAUUAUAUAAUAAACAGUAAACUUCAU